This is a long non-coding RNA of Lathyrus oleraceus (garden pea), 753 nucleotides long. RefSeq lists it as uncharacterized. The record is from RefSeq and is a predicted model, not a curated record. The transcript is spliced from 2 exons. NCBI's taxonomy places the organism in Eukaryota, Viridiplantae, Streptophyta, Magnoliopsida, Fabales, Fabaceae.
AUGGAGGUUCAACAUGAAAUUGUGAGGGUAUAGAAAAUAAAAUGAUAAGUCGGAGGCCCAAAUACACUCAUUGCAAGAGAGGGAAAGAAAAAGUUUAGCAUCACUUCAGAUCAUUUGUUCCUUCCCUGUUCAGUUCAUUCUCAAAUGACCUUGGCCGGAGAACCUAUCUCCGCCACGCCGGAAAUCGCCUCCAGCGGCGCAGAAGGCCAAUAAGAACAAAUCAAACAUCAACAUAAACGUUUUUCCCUCCUCCUUCCUCCUAUCAUAUUCAAUCUUCCUAUAUAUUUACCUAUCAUUCAAACCAAACCAGAACACUUAUGAACCCUAAUUCACUAUUUCGAAAAUUAAAUGAAAUAGAGGAGGAAUCAUAGCCUCUCCUGUUAGGGCUUUGAUUCCUCAAGCCACAAGCUACAUCAUGGUAACAAGAACAAGGAGAAAUGGAAUAAGAAUCAAACGAUCUUACCUACGAGGAUGAGCUUUUCCUCGGUGAGUGUUGAAUUCCAAGCAAAAACAAAAGUGAAGAUGAAGAUGUUGCAAGUUGGGAUUGGCUUCUUGGAGAUCCAAACAUGGCAUGUACAUACCAAGAUGAAUGGAUGCACAUGAGGAUAAAGCUUAGAGCAUUUUUGAAGACUCUUAAUGUAUUUGAUAACUUUGUAAUGUAUUUGCACACUUGAAUGAAGGCUUUUAACUUUGUAACUUGUAAUUUGUAACUUGUUUCUAAGUAAUCCAAUUUACCUAUAUUUUCAAUUUGAA